This 446-nucleotide ribosomal RNA is filed under the name uncultured bacterium. Its description in RNAcentral is "partial 16S ribosomal RNA". It matches the Rfam family "Bacterial small subunit ribosomal RNA", at positions 338 to 795 of the family's 1533-position model. The record is from RNAcentral.
CCUACGGGUGGCAGCAGUCGAGAAUCAUUCACAAUGGGGGAAACCCUGAUGGUGCGACGCCGCGUGGGGGAAUGAAGGUCUUCGGAUUGUAAACCCCUGUCAUGUGGGAGCAAAUUAAAAAGAUAGUACCACAAGAGGAAGAGACGGCUAACUCUGUGCCAGCAGCCGCGGUCAUACAGAGGUCUCAAGCGUUGUUCGGAAUCACUGGGCGUAAAGCGUGCGUAGGCUGUUUCGUAAGUCGUGUGUGAAAGGCGCGGGCUCAACCCGCGGACGGCACAUGAUACUGCGAGGCUAGAGUAAUGGAGGGGGAACCGGAAUUCUCGGUGUAGCAGUGAAAUGCGUAGAUAUCGAGAGGAACACUCGUGGCGAAGGCGGGUUCCUGGACAUUAACUGACGCUGAGGCACGAAGGCCAGGGGAGCGAAAGGGAUUAGAUACCCCGGUAGUC